AGUCACUGACAUUAGACUACCCCUGUAGUCCCAGCCGUAAACUAUGCGCGUUAGGUGUAUCGGUGACCACGAGUUACCGAGGUGCCGAAGGGAAACCGUGAAACGUGCCGCCUGGGAAGUACGGUCGCAAAGCUGAAACUUAAAGGAAUUGGCGGGGAGCACCACAACAGGUGGAGCCUGCGGUUUAAUUGGACUCAACGCCGGGAAGCUCACCGGAUAGGACAGCAGAAUGAUUGCCGGGCUGAAGACCCUGCAUGACUAGCUG
RNAcentral lists this ribosomal RNA (265 nucleotides) under uncultured archaeon. Its description in RNAcentral is "partial 16S ribosomal RNA". It matches the Rfam family "Archaeal small subunit ribosomal RNA", at positions 718 to 982 of the family's 1478-position model. The record is from RNAcentral.